Molecule: ribosomal RNA, 465 nt
Filed under: Vreelandella stevensii
Lineage: Bacteria; Pseudomonadati; Pseudomonadota; Gammaproteobacteria; Oceanospirillales; Halomonadaceae
Description: partial 16S ribosomal RNA
Rfam family: Bacterial small subunit ribosomal RNA
Source: RNAcentral
CCUACGGGAGGCUGCAGUGGGGAAUAUUGGACAAUGGGGGGAACCCUGAUCCAGCCAUGCCGCGUGUGUGAAGAAGGCCCUCGGGUUGUAAAGCACUUUCAGUGAGGAAGAACGCCUGGUGGUUAAUACCCAUCAGGAAAGACAUCACUCACAGAAGAAGCACCGGCUAACUCCGUGCCAGCAGCCGCGGUAAUACGGAGGGUGCGAGCGUUAAUCGGAAUUACUGGGCGUAAAGUGCGCGUAGGUGGCUUGAUAAGCCGGUUGUGAAAGCCCCGGGCUCAACCUGGGAACGGCAUCCGGAACUGUCAAGCUAGAGUGCAGGAGAGGAAGGUAGAAUUCCCGGUGUAGCGGUGAAAUGCGUAGAGAUCGGGAGGAAUACCAGUGGCGAAGGCGGCCUUCUGGACUGACACUGACACUGAGGUGCGAAAGCGUGGGUAGCAAACAGGAUUAGAUACCCGAGUAGUC